This 468-nucleotide ribosomal RNA is filed under the name uncultured bacterium. Its description in RNAcentral is "partial 16S ribosomal RNA". It matches the Rfam family "Bacterial small subunit ribosomal RNA", at positions 28 to 507 of the family's 1533-position model. The record is from RNAcentral.
GACGAACGCUGGCGGCGUGCUUAACACAUGCCAGUCGAACGGAAAGGCCCUGCUUUUGUGGGGUGCUCGAGUGGCGAACGGGUGAGUAACACGUGAGUAACCUGCCCUUGACUUUGGGAUAACUUCAGGAAACUGGGGCUAAUACCGGAUAGGAGCUCCUGCUGCAUGGUGGGGGUUGGAAAGUUUCGGCGGUUGGGGAUGGACUCGCGGCUUAUCAGCUUGUUGGUGGGGUAGUGGCUUACCAAGGCUUUGACGGGUAGCCGGCCUGAGAGGGUGACCGGCGACAUUGGGACUGAGAUACGGCCCAGACUCCUACGGGAGGCAGCAGUGGGGAAUAUUGCACAAUGGGCGGAAGCCUGAUGCAGCAACGCCGCGUGCGGGAUGACGGCCUGCGGGUUGUAAACCGCUUUCGCCUGUGACGAAGCGUGAGUGACGGUAAUGGGUAAAGAAGCACCGGCUAACUACGUG